RNAcentral lists this ribosomal RNA (253 nucleotides) under uncultured bacterium. Its description in RNAcentral is "partial 16S ribosomal RNA". It matches the Rfam family "Bacterial small subunit ribosomal RNA", at positions 524 to 776 of the family's 1533-position model. The record is from RNAcentral.
UACGUAGGGGGCGAGCGUUGUCCGGAUUUAUUGGGCGUAAAGAGCGUGUAGGCGGCCAGGUAGGUCUGCUGUGAAAACUCGAGGCUCAACCUCGAGACGUCGGCGGAAACCAUCUGGCUAGAGUCCGGAAGAGGAGAGUGGAAUUCCUGGUGUAGCGGUGGAAUGCGUAGAUAUCAGGAAGAACACCGGUGGCGAAGGCGGCUCGCUGGGCCAGAUCCGACACUCAUCCGCGAAAGCGUGGGGAGCAAACAGG